Chiloscyllium plagiosum (whitespotted bambooshark) is the source of this 618-nucleotide non-coding RNA. The record is from RefSeq and is a predicted model, not a curated record. NCBI's taxonomy places the organism in Eukaryota, Metazoa, Chordata, Chondrichthyes, Orectolobiformes, Hemiscylliidae.
CAUUGAUGGAUGCUGAGAUGACCACCCCUCAGUGGGAGGAGUGAUUUGAUUGUCUGACAGUUUCAGCAGUCUAAAGCUCCAUAGUGGAUGCUCCUGGGACUGCAGGCAGGCCAAUAUAAGAGGCCCAGUUGAUUAUGGAAUAAGGAUGUGCGUGUCAUUGGCUAGACCAGCCUUCAUUGCCUUGAGAAUAGUUGAGAGUCAACCACAUUGCUUUGGCCCCGGUGUCACACAUAGGCUCAACAAGAAUCCAUUCACAGCAAAAUAGAAUUGAACUGUGAAUUCAUAUGUCAAAAGCUAAAAUUGCCAACAAAACUGCAGCAGAAUUGAAAACAUGGCACGCAACAAUAUUAGACGGAUCAUCUGAAGAUGUCACUGAGGUCGAACUCCCAGAGUUAUGAAUCUACUCAACAGCCAAAUACUUAUAUUGGCUGGUCUGUUUUCAAUUCAUUUUUUUGCUGUUUUCCAAUUGGGAUAAUCGCAAUGUGUUACUCCUGUCAGGUUCGCAGUUCUAUCCAAAUGGGAAACAUGGAAAAAGCCUUAAAUGCUUCGAAAAUUGCCAGAAAGUUGAACAUUGCAGCCACUGUAUUUGGAAUAUUGGCAAUUUUUAUUUUUGUAAUC